GCCGAAUUUCUUUGUGCUAAGGUAGCAUAAUAAUUAGCUUUUUAAUUAAAAGAUAGAAUGAAAGGACAAACGUCUUAACAAUUUUUCCUAAUUUAUAUAAUAAAAUUAACUAAAAAGUAAAAAAACUUUUAUACGACAGAAGGACAAUAAGACCCUAUAGAACUUUAAUUAUUAUUUUUACUGGGGCAGUAAGAAAUCAUAUCUUUUAAAUAAAUACUUAUAAAGACCUAAUAUAAUUAAUUAUUAAAACAAGCUACCUUAGGGAUAACAGCGUUAUAAUACUUUACAGCUCCUAUUUAAAGUAAAUUUUACGACCUCGAUGUUGAAUUAAUUUAACUUCAUUAAGCAAAACCAAUCAAAGUAAGUCUGUUCGACUUUUAAAAAAUUACAUGAUUUGAGUUCAGACCGGUGUAAACCAGGUCAGAUUAUAUCCUCUUUAACAAAUUAACAGUACGAAAGGACCUUAAUAUUAAUA
RNAcentral lists this ribosomal RNA (475 nucleotides) under Loxosceles deserta. RNAcentral describes it as "partial 16S ribosomal RNA". The stretch from base 138 to 436 matches the Rfam family "Archaeal large subunit ribosomal RNA", at positions 2151 to 2715 of the family's 2987-position model. Lineage: Eukaryota; Metazoa; Arthropoda; Arachnida; Araneae; Sicariidae. The record is from RNAcentral.